CGCUGAUAGAUGGGCAUGCGUCCCAUUAGAUAGUUGGUGAGGUAACGGCUCACCAAGUCCACGAUGGAUAGGGGUUCUGAGAGGAAGGUCCCCCACACUGGUACUGAGACACGGACCAGACUCCUACGGGAGGCAGCAGUGAGGAAUAUUGGUCAAUGGGCGAGAGCCUGAACCAGCCAAGUCGCGUGAAGGAUGAAGGAUCUAUGGUUUGUAAACUUCUUUUAUAUGGGAAUAAAGUGAGGAACGUGUUCCUUUUUGUAUGUACCAUAUGAAUAAGCAUCGGCUAACUCCGUGCCAGCAGCCGCGGUAAUACGGAGGAUGCGAGCGUUAUCCGGAUUUAUUGGGUUUAAAGGGUGCGUAGGUGGUUAAUUAAGUCAGCGGUGAAAGUUUGUGGCUCAACCAUAAAAUUGCCGUUGAAACUGGUUGACUUGAGUAUAUUUGAGGUAGGCGGAAUGCGUGGUGUAGCGGUGAAAUGCAUAGAUAUCACGCAGAACUCCGAUUGCGAAGGCAGCUUACUAAACUAUAACUGACACUGAAGCACGAAAGCGUGGGGAUCAAACAGGAUUAGAUACCCUGGUAGUCCACGCAGUAAA
RNAcentral lists this ribosomal RNA (593 nucleotides) under uncultured bacterium. RNAcentral describes it as "bacterial SSU rRNA". It matches the Rfam family "Bacterial small subunit ribosomal RNA", at positions 216 to 806 of the family's 1533-position model. The record is from RNAcentral.